CAGACUCCCGGCACUCAGACUCCCAGCACCCAAACUCUCUGCACCGAGACUCUCAGCACCCAGACUCCAGGAAACCAGACUCCCAGCACCCAAACUCUUGGCACCCAGACUCCCAGCACCCUGACUCUCUGCCUGGCAGGACCAGUCCCUUUCCUGGUGUCCCAUGAGCUCAGCCAGUCUGGGAGUCACAUGUGAGGGGCCAGUGGUCACAUAAACAUCGCUGAGUCUCCUUUGUGGGGCGGAGAGAAAAGAAGCCUGGGACAGACAGACACAGGUUCCGGGACUGUAACAAGAUGGCACUUGAGAUGUUAAAGAUCUGGUGGUGCUUCCCAGUCAUAUUCACCAUGAUCGGACUUUGUGCCCCUAUGCAGGAUCCACAAAUGAGCCCCAGUCAGCCGGCAGGACCCCCCAUUGCACUUUACUGGGCCCCAGCCCUUCUCUUGAUCGUGGUGUUGGCACUGGCUUUGUAUUUCCUACUGCCAUCUUGGCACAAACCUCAACUGAAAGAAGAAGAAGAGGCUGAACAUUCUGGGGGCACUUGUAUUGAUGCACUGAGCUGCUGUGGAAAGGGGGUCCCACUUGGGAGUCUGUAUGGGGCCUCCAAAAGUGCCGCGUGGGUCUAGUGAUCAGUCACCAGAGACCUGAGUGAUAAUAAUCUGCCCAAGUGGCACAUGGACUACAAACAAUGGCUGGAGGGCUAAGGGAAGGGGCACGUUUAUUAAAUGUUGCUUGUGCUCUUGUGGGGCCAAUGGAAUGGGUGGGUGGGUGGGUGGGUGCGGGUUCUGAAGAAGCCUUUGUAUAUAAAAGAAAAUGGGUUGGACUCACAAGAUGGUCAUUCCAUGCCAGAUACAAGCCAGAGUUUCUGGAGGUGAAAGAGGUGCAACACUGAGGUCAGAUCCACAGCGGAGGCAGGAGACGGGAUAACAAUCUUAUUUCAGCCACAAAGUCCCUAAAUAACUAAUAAUUGUACUUCCUGCCCCGGCUGUGCAUCCGGCUACAGAGAUUUGCCUCCUCCUCCGUGGGGUUUGGUGGGACUGCGGGUGAGUUUCAACUGGUGCAUUAUGAAACCACGGGUGGAUACACCAGGGCCACUUGGAGAUUAGGGUGAGUUAUUGUUACUGAUGGGGAGCCAAUGUUAAACUGUAACCAAUGGGUGGACUCGGGGUUCAGUUAGUUCCCAUGAGGGUCCCUGCUGGGCCACUUUCCUACAUGAGCCACAAUAUUGUUGUGACUGUAAUUCAUGUUCUACAUGGACAGUGUGGGGUUCUUAUUUAGGGUACACUAUGGGCCUGGGGAAUCUCUAUCUCUUUAUAAGGAGAGCACUUCAUGGGUUACACUAUUGAAUCAUUCUGCCCCCCAUGUGUCCAACCCUGUAACCACAAUGCAUUUCUCUGUAACUGUACCAAGCCCCUAUUCUGUACCCUUGAACUAAGAAAUAAAUAUCAAUGUUAUUUUUGUA
This is a long non-coding RNA of Xenopus laevis (African clawed frog), 1459 nucleotides long. RefSeq lists it as uncharacterized. The transcript is spliced from 3 exons. The record is from RefSeq and is a predicted model, not a curated record. NCBI's taxonomy places the organism in Eukaryota, Metazoa, Chordata, Amphibia, Anura, Pipidae.